CCCGUAAAUCCGAACUUGUG
This 20-nucleotide microRNA is filed under the name Drosophila ananassae. Its description in RNAcentral is "miR-100-RA". RNAcentral also lists the same sequence under 6 other names. The record is from RNAcentral. Lineage: Eukaryota; Metazoa; Arthropoda; Insecta; Diptera; Drosophilidae.